UUUCCGUAGGUGAACCUGCGGAAGGAUCAUUAAAGUUAUAGUCCCCCGGCCCUCUGGGCUGGGGUCUUCUAUACCACCCUUUGUUUAUUACACCUUUGUUGCUUUGGCAGGCCUGCCCUCGGGCUGCUGGCUCCGGCCGGCUCGCGUCUGCCAGAGGACCUAAACUCUGUUUGUAUAUGAAGUCUGAGUACUAUAUAAUAGUUAAAGCUUUCAACAACGGAUCUCUUGGUUCUG
This 234-nucleotide unclassified non-coding RNA is filed under the name plant metagenome. RNAcentral's name for it is "partial contains small subunit ribosomal RNA, internal transcribed spacer 1, and 5.8S ribosomal RNA". The record is from RNAcentral.